UACGGAGGGUGCAAGCGUUAUCCGGAUUCACUGGGUUUAAAGGGUGCGUAGGUGGGUUGGUAAGUCAGUGGUGAAAAUCUCCCGUGCUUAACAUGGAAACUGCCAUUGAUACUACUGGUCUUGAAUUUUUUCCCGGAGGUAAGCGGAAUAUGUCAUGUAGCGGUGAAAUGCUUAGAUAUGACAUAGAACACCAAUUGCGAAGGCAGCUUACUACAGGGAUAUUGACACUGAGGCACGAAAGCGUGGGGGGAUCAAACAGG
RNAcentral lists this ribosomal RNA (260 nucleotides) under uncultured bacterium. RNAcentral describes it as "partial 16S ribosomal RNA". It matches the Rfam family "Bacterial small subunit ribosomal RNA", at positions 524 to 776 of the family's 1533-position model. The record is from RNAcentral.